ACGAACGCUGGCGGCAUGCCUAACACCUGCCAGUCGAACGAAGCCUUCGGGCUUAGUGGCGCACGGGUGCGUCACGCGUGGGAAUCUGCCCCUUGCUUCGGAAUAACAGUUAGAAAUGACUGCUAAUACCGGAUGAAGUCUUCGGACCAAAGAUUUAUCGGCAAGGGAUGAGCCCGCGUAGGAUUAGGUAGUUGGUGGGGUAAAGGCCUACCAAGCCGACGAUCCUUAGCUGGUCUGAGAGGAUGAUCAGCCACACUGGGACUGAGACACGGCCCAGACUCCUACGGGAGGCAGCAGUGGGGAAUAUUGGACAAUGGACGCAAGUCUGAUCCAGCAAUGCCGCGUGAGUGAUGAAGGCCUUAGGGUUGUAAAGCUCUUUUACCAGGGAUGAUAAUGACAGUACCUGGAGAAUAAGCUCCGGCUAACUCCGUG
This 432-nucleotide ribosomal RNA is filed under the name uncultured bacterium. RNAcentral's name for it is "partial 16S ribosomal RNA". It matches the Rfam family "Bacterial small subunit ribosomal RNA", at positions 29 to 507 of the family's 1533-position model. The record is from RNAcentral.